ACACGCACGCUCACACACAUGCGCCAUAUAAGUGCAAUAAUCUUGAACGUGAUGUUAAGACCAAUUUCACCUCACCUUAUAGAGGUAUCAACUUAAAAACACUGCACACUGUGUAAAUUUGCUGCGUCACAAUGUAAUUCCCUUUCUCAGUUUCUGCACAUUAGUAGUACAACAUCUUGAUUAAACCCUUUUUGCAAAACAAACAAUUAAUUGAGCAUUUGAGUAAAUAUUGUUUAAUUUUCCUGUGUUGGCACCAAACCAUAUUGUUAUCAAAGAUAAUUUUUUAACCUUUGGAUCAUCAUCGUGGCAUUUAUUAUGGUAAUGAUAAGGUCAAAAGACAUUAGCAAAAGAUGCAAUGUUCAUGAUGUAGUGUUACCAUGGUUACUAUGAUAGCAGUUCAAAAGUCUUUGUAGGGUAAACAAAAGAUUAAUUCCUUGAGACAUAACCUCCACCCACUAACUUGAACUGUAGAUCCACUGACAAGUGUAUUUUGUUGGAUGGAAAACAUUUGAAAUGCUCCCUAAAUACUUGUAUUCAUCACAAUACUUUUGUUUCCAGUGUUGAAAGAAAGCCUUGAAAACCGCGGCGUGCUGGGACAGAUAAAAGCCAGGAUUCGAGCUGAAGUGUUUAAUGCUCUAGACGAUCAAUCCGAACAUAAACCUCCUCUUAGUAAUGAGAAUGUUCUCAUAAAUGAGUUGAUCAGGGAAUAUCUGGAGUACAACAAAUACAGAUAUGCAUCAUCCGUCUUAGUAGCAGGCCUCUGUUGUACAGCAUAGUGUCUCACUACGUCAACCGCCAUCCUCGUAGUACUGCUGCUUCACAGGGCCGAGCACCUCACAGGGAGGGGAAUCGAGGAACUUUUCAACAGCAGAUGGAAGAACAGUUAGGUGAGUAACAACAGCAUCCAUUGUGAAGAAAUAUGGUACGGUUGCCAUGGAAACUCAAAAAAUUUUUUUUUAAA
Haliotis rufescens (red abalone) is the source of this 961-nucleotide long non-coding RNA. RefSeq lists it as uncharacterized. NCBI's taxonomy places the organism in Eukaryota, Metazoa, Mollusca, Gastropoda, Lepetellida, Haliotidae. The record is from RefSeq and is a predicted model, not a curated record. The transcript is spliced from 2 exons.